RNAcentral lists this ribosomal RNA (549 nucleotides) under soil bacterium LB-P1-37. RNAcentral's name for it is "bacterial SSU rRNA". It matches the Rfam family "Bacterial small subunit ribosomal RNA", at positions 355 to 895 of the family's 1533-position model. The record is from RNAcentral. RNAcentral also lists the same sequence under 3 other names.
UAGGGAAUCUUCCGCAAUGGACGAAAGUCUGACGGAGCAACGCCGCGUGAGUGAUGAAGGUUUUCGGAUCGUAAAACUCUGUUAUUAGGGAAGAACAAAUGUGUAAGUAACUGUGCACAUCUUGACGGUACCUAAUCAGAAAGCCACGGCUAACUACGUGCCAGCAGCCGCGGUAAUACGUAGGUGGCAAGCGUUAUCCGGAAUUAUUGGGCGUAAAGCGCGCGUAGGCGGUUUCUUAAGUCUGAUGUGAAAGCCCACGGCUCAACCGUGGAGGGUCAUUGGAAACUGGGAAACUUGAGUACAGAAGAGGAAAGUGGAAUUCCAUGUGUAGCGGUGAAAUGCGCAGAGAUAUGGAGGAACACCAGUGGCGAAGGCGACUUUCUGGUCUGUAACUGACGCUGAUGUGCGAAAGCGUGGGGAUCAAACAGGAUUAGAUACCCUGGUAGUCCACGCCGUAAACGAUGAGUGCUAAGUGUUAGGGGGUUUCCGCCCCUUAGUGCUGCAGCUAACGCAUUAAGCACUCCGCCUGGGGAGUACGACCGCAAGGUG